This 460-nucleotide ribosomal RNA is filed under the name uncultured bacterium. RNAcentral describes it as "partial 16S ribosomal RNA". It matches the Rfam family "Bacterial small subunit ribosomal RNA", at positions 338 to 795 of the family's 1533-position model. The record is from RNAcentral.
CCUACGGGGUGCAGCAGUGAGGAAUAUUGGUCAAUGUGCGCGAGCCUGAACCAGCCAAGUAGCGUGACGGAUGACUGCCCUACGGGUUGUAAACUUCUUUUAUAAAGGAAUAAAGUGAGGCACGUGUGCCUUUUUGUCUGUACUUUAUGAAUAAGGAUCGGCUAACUCCGUGCCAGCAGCCGCGGUAAUACGGAGGAUCCGAGCGUUAUCCGGAUUUAUUGGGUUUAAAGGGAGCGUAGAUGGGUUGUUAAGUCAGUUGUGAAAGUUUGCGGCUCAACCGUAAAAUUGCAAUUGAUACUGGCAGGCUUGAGUACAGUUGAGGUAGGCGGAAUUCGUGGUGUAGCGGUGAAAUGCUUAGAUAUCACGAAGAACUCCGAUUGCGAAGGCAGCUUACUAAACUGCCACUGACAUUGAUGCUCGAAAAUGUGGGUAUCAAACAGGAUUAGAUACCCGAGUAGUC